RNA transcript from Phalaenopsis equestris, 2514 nucleotides. RefSeq lists it as uncharacterized. The transcript has 7 exons. The record is from RefSeq and is a predicted model, not a curated record. Lineage: Eukaryota; Viridiplantae; Streptophyta; Magnoliopsida; Asparagales; Orchidaceae.
UCCGCUUCGUUCUUCGUCUUCUGGUAGGGUUUGGCGGUACUGCUUUUGGAGGAAUACUAAAUGGAGGAGCCAAAGAAAGUGGCUAGGAGAGAUCGUAAGACGAAGGCGGCGAAAGAGCCCAAGGAGGACAUUGAAUCUAGGUUUUUAAGUGCAAAAUCCAUCUAUUGUAGAUGUCGACUUUCUGCAGGAAGAGAUGUUCUCGACAAGGUCCGACCAACCAUUCCUGAGGAGACAUGGACAACAUUGGAAGCAAUGAAUUUAGUCAUGUGUUUUGAUCUUCCUCCGUACCCUCAAGAUCAUAUUCUAACCAUGCACAUAUUGAACUGUUGGUAUAUUGAUCAAACGGUAUUCAUAUUAGGCGAGAAAGAGGUAAGAUUUGAUGCAAACCAGGCUGUUUUGCUUAUUGGUAUGCCCAACAGAGGAGCACUAGCAUAUUGGAAUAAGCUUCCCUUCUGUUGUGUGACUGCGAGACAAAUAAAGAGUGACCUAGUAAAUGUUUCACUCAGGGAGUCCUCUAUUCCAUUCGAAGAACUAUUACUUAAGUUUUUGGUGACAAAUUUACUUUUUCCUUCAAACAAUUUCAGUGUGCCCCAAGAGCUUUACUCAUUUUGUGAGGAUGUACAUUCCUUUUCUUCAUAUAAUUGGCCUAUUACGGUAUGCGACUUUCUCAUUGAGCAAGUAAACGCCUACACAAUGAAAAUAAGGAGGAACCAACCACUAGGAUAUAUUAAUGGUUUUGUAUUUCUUCUAACGCUCUGGUUUUACGAGCGCACAUCAUUGGUCGUCCCUGUUGUUCCUGGGGCUAGACUUCGAAUGUUGUUGUGGCCAUCAAAAGUGAGCUGGAACGCAUCAAAUAUUCAUCUAGCCUUUAAGAGGCUCAAACCUGAAUAGGUUCAUGAAUUGUUUCUGGAUCUGAAAUAUAGUGAGCACCACUUACUCGCCCCUCCAGCUGAAGGACCAUCAAUCCAUGUGAAGCUUCCCUCACACCAUGAUACUCACUCCAUACCACAUUCACCCGAUUAUGUUGAGGUUAAUCCUAUAAAACCCUGCCAUAUCAGUCCCCAACCAAUACAUACCUAUCAAGGCAGUAAUAUUGGAUUAGAGGAAAUAUACCAAAUACUUAGAGAUCAACAGAAAUUUCAUUUUGAAUUUCAAGAAUCAAUUAACAGACGUUUUGUUAAUUUAAAUAUCAGAGUGACAGACUUGCAGUCGCAAGUAAAUAAAUUAGAAAAAGCAAAAAAUGAGCGAGUUGUAAAGUUUCUAAAGAAAUGGAUACAUGAUUCCCAACUAGGCACUUCAAUCCAAAGGGUUAAGGCUAGAGACAAUAGAAAAAAGAGGAAAUUAAAUUCCCCAUUUACAUCAUUUGAGGAGAAUAAAAAAAACAAAAAAAGAAAGUUGAGAAAGACUCCAAGUUUUCAUUAGAUGAUUUAUUUUCACAAAUUGAAAAAUUAGGCGAGAAAGAGGAAGAGACAGCUUCAGAGCAACCACCACUAACAGAAAUUGUUUCACCCAAGCCAAAUGUACAUAUUGACACAGCAGGGCAACUUCAUCUAACACCAUCUGAUAAAGUAGAGGUACAACUCAUUACAGAACCUGAUGAACAGAGUCAAAUAUUUGAUCUUACAUUAGAGGAGGUGGUCGAAGGUGUAAAUAAAGAGGAAGAGCAGCAGGAGGACUCAGGCCCAGAAGUUGUAGAUGACCAUCCAGUUAAGGUUCUACCCGCAUCAUUGGUUAUAGAUUUCCCGCUAGAAGUCAAAUUCCACAGUACAUGCUUGAAGUGAUCGAUCUAUGAUGCAGCAAAUACACUUUCAAGUUAGUGUACCAUCCGUUGAUGUGAUCUACAUUACUUUCCAAGACAAUUCUCACGCUAAAUAUAUUUUUCAAAUGCAAGGAUGAUCUUAUAAUCAUCAUGGGACAUGCAUCAAUGAGUCGACAAGGUCUUGAAGAGUUAUUGAAUAAUGAUUGGUUAGCAAACGAACAUGUAGAUUGUUUUGCAAUGUUAUUAGAAAAGAAGUGUUCCAGAUCACCACAAUUUUAUAGAUCCUACUUAUAUGUGUCUCCACUCUAUUGGGUGUACAGGCAGCAUAACUAUACCCUGUUUGUUCAACACAUUAGGAAGGAGGCAAUAGAAAAAUCGAGUUACUUUUGAUAUCAAUAAUUAAUAAUUAACACUGGACAUUGCUAGUUGGAGGGUUGAAUGACCGCAAAUAGAAAUUGUAUGACUCCUUACCUAACAAUAUCUUUUUGGGGAUUGCUCAUGACGUUAUGAAACAUUUUGUUCAGGAUGUUGGGAAGGCUUUCAAGGGUGAUUUGAGAGCAUGGUCGGUUUCAAUGGUCAAAGACAUUCUGGUCCAAAGCAAUAGCGUUGAUUGCGGGGUAUUCGUAAAUAUGUGGGAACACUUUUACAAAUAGACAGAAGCGAGUGGAGCGAUAAAUUAGGAUGACAGGAUGAUAUGCCAUUGUUUUGAGCAGAAAUAGACUAUGAGAUGUGUAAAUAUGCAUCAUAUCAAACAU